GUCUAAGUGCAUACCUUAAAACAGUGAAACCGAAAAUGUCUCAUUAAAUCAGCUAUGAUUCCUUAGAUCAUAUAUACUAUGCAUAUACUACAUGGAUAAUUAUAGUGGUUCUAGAGCUAAUACAUACAAUUAUGCCCUGACCCGCAAGGGAACGGGUGCAUUUAUUAGAACAGAACCAACCGGGGGCAGUUUCCGUCUGUCUUCGGUGAAUUCUGUGAUAACUCUAGACAACUUGAAUGAUCGCAAUCCGCUUUGUGUAUGCGACGGAUCUUUCAAAUGUCCGCCCUGUCCAUUUUUUGGUAGGUGAUUUGCCUACCAUGACAAUAACGGGUAACGGGGAAUAAGGAUUCGAUUCCUGGAG
Molecule: non-coding RNA, 361 nt
Filed under: Trichobilharzia regenti
Lineage: Eukaryota; Metazoa; Platyhelminthes; Trematoda; Strigeidida; Schistosomatidae
Description: Eukaryotic small subunit ribosomal RNA
Rfam family: Eukaryotic small subunit ribosomal RNA
Source: Rfam by way of RNAcentral